AUUUAUUUGUUAUACGAUUAAUUUUCUUUCUCCAAACCCACAGCUGUCUUCACAGGGUCAGCCAGGGGCAAAAGGAAAAAGUCAGGGGGACCAAGGCAUAUGCCUGAAAGAAAAAGGCCACAAAAGAAUUGUUCCUACCACACUCGCCUAGAGGCUUUCCCCAUCAGGAGUGUUGUAAAAGAAAGAGUGAGAAAGGGCAAAGAAGAAAUUUUGGUUGACUGGGAGCCCUGUCCAGUAUGAUUAAACAAGCCUUUUAACAAAUGUAAAGCACACAUCAUUACUAGAGGUGUCACGAUUCUCCAAAUCCUCGAUUCGAUUACAUUUUCGAUUCUAAGGUCACGGUUUGAUUCGAUUCUCGAAUUUUAUCAAUCGGCCAAUCAGGAUGCUCUCUGUCUUACAUGCGCUUCAUGAGGCACACACACAAGGUCUCUCGCUCUCUCCCUCUCUGCGGUGGACGCAAUACGGUUAAGAGCACAGUUUUUUUCUGUCUCUCUUGCUCGCUCUCUCUAGAUUCCGGGAGAUUUUAACUAAUUUGCGUGCAUUAGGGAGCCGCUAUCAAUA
Molecule: RNA transcript, 561 nt
Organism: Pimephales promelas (fathead minnow)
Lineage: Eukaryota; Metazoa; Chordata; Actinopteri; Cypriniformes; Leuciscidae
Source: RefSeq, a predicted model, not a curated record